UACGGGGGGAGCAAGCGUUGUUCGGAUUUACUGGGCGUAAAGGGCGCGUAGGCGGCCACCGCAAGUCGACUGUGAAAUCUCCGGGCUUAACCCGGAAAGGUCAGCCGAUACUGCGGGGCUAGAGUGCAGAAGGGGCAACUGGAAUUCUCGGUGUAGCGGUGAAAUGCGCAGAUAUCAGGAGGAACACCAAUGGCGAAGGCAGCUCGCUGGGACGUGACUGACGCUGAGACGCGAAAGCGUGGGGAGCAAACAGG
RNAcentral lists this ribosomal RNA (254 nucleotides) under uncultured bacterium. RNAcentral describes it as "partial 16S ribosomal RNA". It matches the Rfam family "Bacterial small subunit ribosomal RNA", at positions 524 to 776 of the family's 1533-position model. The record is from RNAcentral.